Molecule: ribosomal RNA, 255 nt
Filed under: uncultured bacterium
Lineage: Bacteria
Description: partial 16S ribosomal RNA
Rfam family: Bacterial small subunit ribosomal RNA
Source: RNAcentral
UACGUAGGGUGCAAGCGUUGUCCGGAAUUAUUGGGCGUAAAGAGCUCGUAGGCGGUCUGUCGCGUCUGCUGUGAAAACUCGGGGCUUAACCCCGGGCCUGCAGUGGGUACGGGCAGACUAGAGUGCGGUAGGGGAGACUGGAAUUCCUGGUGUAGCGGUGAAAUGCGCAGAUAUCAGGAGGAACACCGGUGGCGAAGGCGGGUCUCUGGGCCGUAACUGACGCUGGAGGAGCGAAAAGCGUGGGGAGCGAACAGG